GUCGUUCUAGUAUAGUGGUGAGUAUUCCCGCCUGUCACCCGGGUGACCCGGGUUCGAUUCCCGGUGACGGCG
RNAcentral lists this transfer RNA (72 nucleotides) under Oryza glumipatula. It matches the Rfam family "tRNA". Rfam says of the family: Transfer RNA (tRNA) molecules are approximately 80 nucleotides in length. Their secondary structure includes four short double-helical elements and three loops (D, anti-codon, and T loops). The record is from Rfam by way of RNAcentral. Lineage: Eukaryota; Viridiplantae; Streptophyta; Magnoliopsida; Poales; Poaceae.